GCAUCCAUAGCUCAGAUGGAUAGAGUACUCGGCUACGAACCGAGCGGUCGGAGGUUCGAAUCCUCCUGGAUGCGCCA
Molecule: transfer RNA, 77 nt
Filed under: Candidatus Arsenophonus melophagi
Lineage: Bacteria; Pseudomonadati; Pseudomonadota; Gammaproteobacteria; Enterobacterales; Morganellaceae
Description: tRNA-Arg
Rfam family: tRNA
About the family: Transfer RNA (tRNA) molecules are approximately 80 nucleotides in length.
Source: RNAcentral